GGAAUGACUCUUGACAACGGAUAUCUUGGCUCUUGCAUCGAUGAAGAACGCAGCGAAAUGCGAUACGUGGUGUGAAUUGCAGAAUCCCGUGAACCAUUGAAUUUUUGAACGCAAGUUGCGCCCGAUGCCAUUUAUAGGUUGAGGGCACGCCUGCCUGGGUGUCAUUC
This 167-nucleotide ribosomal RNA is filed under the name Dendrophthora guatemalensis. RNAcentral describes it as "5.8S ribosomal RNA". It matches the Rfam family "5.8S ribosomal RNA". From Rfam's summary of the family: 5.8S ribosomal RNA (5.8S rRNA) is a component of the large subunit of the eukaryotic ribosome. It is transcribed by RNA polymerase I as part of the 45S precursor that also contains 18S and 28S rRNA. Functionally, it is thought that 5.8S rRNA may be involved in ribosome translocation. Lineage: Eukaryota; Viridiplantae; Streptophyta; Magnoliopsida; Santalales; Viscaceae. The record is from RNAcentral.